RNAcentral lists this ribosomal RNA (408 nucleotides) under uncultured bacterium. RNAcentral describes it as "partial 16S ribosomal RNA". It matches the Rfam family "Bacterial small subunit ribosomal RNA", at positions 28 to 526 of the family's 1533-position model. The record is from RNAcentral.
GACGAACGCUGGCGGCGUGCUUAACACAUGCAAGUCGAACGAAGUGGCGAACGGGUGAGUAACGCGUAAUCAACCUGCCCUUCAGCGGGGGACAACAGUUGGAAACGACUGAUAAUACCGCAUACUGAAGGAGGGGUUUGCGUCUGAUUAGCUAGUUGGAGGGGGAACGGCCCACCAAGGGGUGGAUCAGUAGCCGGUCUGAGAGGCUGAACGGGCACCUUGGGACUGCAGCACGGCCCAGACUCCUACGGUAGGCAGGAGGUGGGAAACUUCCGCAAUGGACGGAAGUCUGACGGAGCAACGCCGCGGGAGUGAUGACGGCCUUCGGGUUGUAAAGCUCUUUUAAUCGGGACGCGGUACCGGAAUAGAAAGCCACGGCUAACUACGUGCCAGCAGCCGCGGUAAUAC